RNAcentral lists this ribosomal RNA (540 nucleotides) under uncultured Alphaproteobacteria bacterium. RNAcentral's name for it is "bacterial SSU rRNA". It matches the Rfam family "Bacterial small subunit ribosomal RNA", at positions 1 to 895 of the family's 1533-position model. The record is from RNAcentral. Lineage: Bacteria; Pseudomonadati; Pseudomonadota; Alphaproteobacteria.
GCGGGAAUUAGAUUAGAGUUUGAUCAUGGCUCAGAACGAACGCUGGGGGGAUGCGUAACACAUGCAAGUCGAAUGAACCCUUCGGGGUUAGUGGCGCACGGGUGCGUAACGCGUGGGAAUCUGCCCUUGGCUUCGGAAUAACAGUUAGAAAUGACUGCUAAUACCGGAUGAUGUCUUCGGACCAAAGAUUUAUCGGCCAGGGAUGAGCCCGCGUAGGAUUAGGUAGUUGGUGGGGUAAAGGCCUACCAAGCCGACGAUCCUUAGGUGGUCUGAGAGGAUGAUCAGCCACACUGGGACUGAGACACGGCCCAGACUCCUACGGGAGGCAGCAGUGGGGAAUAUUGGACAAUGGGCGCAAGCCUGAUCCAGCAAUGCCGCGUGAGUGAUGAAGGCCUUAGGGUCGUAAAGCUCUUUUACCCGGGAUGAUAAUGACAGUCCCGGGAGAAUAAGCUCCGGCUAACUCCGUGCCAGCAGCCGCGGUAAUACGAAUCACUAGUGAAUUCGCGGCCGCCUGCAGGUCGGCCAUAUGGGAGCGCUCCC